Molecule: ribosomal RNA, 115 nt
Filed under: Acanthosepion pharaonis
Lineage: Eukaryota; Metazoa; Mollusca; Cephalopoda; Sepiida; Sepiidae
Source: RNAcentral
CUUGCGGCCACAUCAUGUUGAAACAUUGGUUCCCGUAGGAUCACUGAAGUUAAGCAACGUCGAGCCUGGUCAGUACCUAGAGGGAUGACCGCUUGUGAAUACUAUUUGCUGUAAG